AUACCUUUCUCGGCCUUUUGGCUAAGAUCAAGUGUAGUAUCUGUUCUUAUCAGUUUAAUAUCUGAUAUGCGGGCCAUAUGAUGACCCAAAAGGUCAUCAUUUGUUUUGAAAAUAAAUUCU
This 120-nucleotide small nuclear RNA is filed under the name Nicotiana attenuata. RNAcentral's name for it is "snRNA U2". It matches the Rfam family "U2 spliceosomal RNA". Rfam says of the family: U2 is a small nuclear RNA (snRNA) component of the spliceosome (involved in pre-mRNA splicing). Lineage: Eukaryota; Viridiplantae; Streptophyta; Magnoliopsida; Solanales; Solanaceae. The record is from RNAcentral.